This 484-nucleotide ribosomal RNA is filed under the name uncultured bacterium. Its description in RNAcentral is "partial 16S ribosomal RNA". It matches the Rfam family "Bacterial small subunit ribosomal RNA", at positions 30 to 507 of the family's 1533-position model. The record is from RNAcentral.
AUUGAACGCUGGCGGCAGGCCUAACACAUGCAAGUCGAGCGGAUGAAGGGAGCUUGCUCCUGGAUUCAGCGGCGGACGGGUGAGUAAUGCCUAGGAAUCUGCCUGGUAGUGGGGGAUAACGUCCGGAAACGGGCGCUAAUACCGCAUACGUCCUGAGGGAGAAAGUGGGGGAUCUUCGGACCUCACGCUAUCAGAUGAGCCUAGGUCGGAUUAGCUAGUUGGUGGGGUAAAGGCCUACCAAGGCGACGAUCCGUAACUGGUCUGAGAGGAUGAUCAGUCACACUGGAACUGAGAAACGGUACAGACUCCUACGGGAGGCAGCAGUGGGGAAUAUUGGACAAUGGGCGAAAGCCUGAUCCAGCCAUGCCGCGUGUGUGAAGAAGGUCUUCGGAUUGUAAAGCACUUUAAGUUGGGAGGAAGGGCAGUAAGUUAAUACCUUGCUGUUUUGACGUUACCAACAGAAUAAGCACCGGCUAACUUCGUG